Neofelis nebulosa (Clouded leopard) is the source of this 664-nucleotide long non-coding RNA. RefSeq lists it as uncharacterized. NCBI's taxonomy places the organism in Eukaryota, Metazoa, Chordata, Mammalia, Carnivora, Felidae. The record is from RefSeq and is a predicted model, not a curated record. The transcript has 2 exons.
UCAUCCAUCCUGCCGCCCUGCAGCCUCUCGGUCAUUUGGGGGUCUCCCCAGCGCAGCCCCUCUAGACAGCUUGCUUUCCUCCCCAAGGCUGCCUCCCGCCACGCCCAGGGUGUGGAGAAAGCUCUGCAGGUGCCUCCAGAGCCACCUUCCCCCAGGCCUGGGUGUGCUUGUCUGCAGGUAGAUGCCAGCCUGCACCCCAUGGGUCUGAGCAUGGCCUGCUCGUCUCCCCAGACAGCUGGGAGGGCCCCAAGCCACCAUCACUUCUUACCUUGAUUCCAGAUGCCUGGCCCUGUGACUGCCACAUAGUAAUCGAUGUUAAUUGAAGGCAGAGCCGAAUGGCAGAUGAGCACAUGGUCUUGAUUCCGCUCUAUGAAAACACUCAGCACAUCCAAUCAACCUGACGUUUGCAGGAGAGCUGGGAUCCUGUGAGGUGCCGCCGUGCAGCAAGCAUCUGGACUAUGUGCAAGAUAGAGAGGACACAUCGAAGGCAUCCCCUUUCCAGCUAUGAACCCAGCAUUGCGCAUGCUCGGCCCUGCGAUGGCCCUCAGCCUCCCGGCUGACGGAGGCUGUCCUGGAUGUGCUUGCCGGCAUCAUUCUGGUCGAACGUACUAGAUGGCUACUGUUGUGUUCAGCAAACAGCCGGUGCCUCAUGCCAAAUGUAGUC